Molecule: RNase P RNA, 363 nt
Filed under: Aquirhabdus parva
Lineage: Bacteria; Pseudomonadati; Pseudomonadota; Gammaproteobacteria; Moraxellales; Moraxellaceae
Description: Bacterial RNase P class A
Rfam family: Bacterial RNase P class A
About the family: Ribonuclease P (RNase P) is a ubiquitous endoribonuclease, found in archaea, bacteria and eukarya as well as chloroplasts and mitochondria. Its best characterised activity is the generation of mature 5'-ends of tRNAs by cleaving the 5'-leader elements of precursor-tRNAs.
Source: Rfam by way of RNAcentral
AAAGUGAGCUGGACGGUCGCCGCUGAUGAGAUCUUUGGAUUAAAGCAGGGGAGGAAAGUCCGGGCUUCGUAGGGCAAAGUGCCAGGUAACGCCUGGGCGGUGUGAGCCGACGGAUAGUGCAGCAGAGAGUAGACCGCCGAACGGCCCGUAAGGGUGCGUGGUAAGGGUGAAACGGUGCGGUAAGAGCGCACCACGAGUCUGGUAACAGACCGGUACGGUAAACCCCACUUGAAGCAAGACCAAAUAGGAAUCCAUGGCGUGGCCCGCGUCGGAUUCGGGUAGGUUGCUUGAGCGUAUUGGUGACGAUACGCCUAGAGGAAUGAUCGUUCACGACAGAACCCGGCUUAUAGGCUCACUUUGCAC